CUACGGGAUGCUGCCGUGAGGAAUAUUGCACAAUGGGGGGAACCCUGAUGCAGCAACGCCGCGUGGAGGAUGACGCAUUUCGGUGUGUAAACUCCUUUUAUAUGUCAAGAAAAUGACGGUAGCAUAUGAAUAAGCACCGGCUAACUCCGUGCCAGCAGCCGCGGUAAUACGGAGGGUGCAAGCGUUACUCGGAAUCACUGGGCGUAAAGGACGCGUAGGCGGGUUGGAAAGUCAGGUGUGAAAUCCUACAGCUUAACUGUAGAACUGCACUUGAAACUUCUAAUCUAGAGUAUGGGAGGGGGAGAUGGAAUUAGUGGUGUAGGGGUAAAAUCCGUAGAUAUCACUAGGAAUACCUAAAGCGAAGGCGAUCUCCUGGAACAUUACUGACGCUAAGGCGUGAAAGCGUGGGGAGCAAACAGGAUUAGAUACCCAGGUAGUC
Molecule: ribosomal RNA, 439 nt
Filed under: uncultured bacterium
Lineage: Bacteria
Description: partial 16S ribosomal RNA
Rfam family: Bacterial small subunit ribosomal RNA
Source: RNAcentral